Molecule: non-coding RNA, 1123 nt
Organism: Hydra vulgaris (swiftwater hydra)
Lineage: Eukaryota; Metazoa; Cnidaria; Hydrozoa; Anthoathecata; Hydridae
Source: RefSeq, a predicted model, not a curated record
UAAAAAAUACUAGAAUUUUCAUCAGUACAUAUAGAAAAAAAAUCGAAUGUUGGAACUUCUAAAAGAAAUGAUUUCUUAUCUUGCGAAAAUCUAAAAGAAUAUUUUGACCAUUAUGAGUCAUCGAUUUUGUACAAUGAAUACUCUUAUGACCAAAAGCCUAAUGAGUAUAAGCAUAACCCAACUUUAAAAAAAGUUUUUCUGCAUGUUUUUCUAACCAAGUAAUUAUGCACUAAACAAGUGGAUUGACAUAAAAUAGUAACAAAUUUAUUGUCUCAAAAAAUAACUAUAAUCAUGCACUGAAAAACAACCUUUUGUCAACAAAAGAAUGGCACAAAUUUCCAUUGAUAAAGUAUAAGAUUCAUUUUCAUGUUGUGAAGAAUACAACUUUCUACAUCAGAUGAAAUAUAUGUUAAAGAAAGCUUAAAAAUAAGAAUAACAAAUCAUACCGCUCUUCAUUGCCAGAACCUCCACCACCUAUUAUGAAUAAGCCCAACGCUAAAAAGAUGCAAAAUGUUAUUCUCAACAAGCUUGCAGAAAUAAAAGUUCUUUUAAAAGAAGUUAUAGAAAUUAAGUUUCAGGCUACUGGGGUGAAGUUGCUAGAAUCAGUGGACGAAGUGGUUACACUGGAUAAUAAACUAAAAGAUAAAACCGAGUAUACUAAUUUGGUAUAAUCUAAUUAUCUUAAUUUUUAAUAAGUUUGUUUAAAUUUGGUUUACUAGUUUAGAAUCUAAAUGAAAAGUAUUUGUAAAUGAACUAAAAUAACUAGCUUAUGUUAGACUCAAUAUGUUGCAUUUUAUUUUCAAAUUUAAUGUUUUUACUUUUCAUAAUUUUAAGCAUUCAUAUAUUAAAAUAUAUUUUAAUUUAUUACAUAUAUUAAAAUAAAAAUCUUUAUAAAUAUAUUUCAGUUUAUUGUUAAAAUAUUUAUCAGGUUAUUUUCGAAUCAGUUACAGUCCAAAUUUAAUCGAAAAGGAAAUGGGGAAAAGAUAAGCUUAGAAAAUAUAGUAAAUAUAUGAAGUGUUUUACGAGAUAUCGGCGACAUGGAAGAAAAUGUUGACGGCAAUGCAGAAAUAUAGUUUCUUAUGUAUAUUUUUGUGAAAUAAAAAUUAAGUAAUGUUAGUUAAAA